GAUGAAGAACGCAGCGAAAUGCGAUACGUAAUGUGAAUUGCAGAAUUCAGUGAAUCAUCGAAUCUUUGAACGCAUAUUGCGCUCUCUGGUAUUCCGGAGAGCAUGCUUGUUUGAGUAUCAGUAAACACCUCAACUUCCAUAUCUUUUUUGAAAUGGGAGUUGGACUUGAGUGAUCCCAACGCUUUUCCUCACCGAAAAGUGGCGGGUUACUUGAAAUGCAGGUGCAGCUGGACUUUUCUCUGAGCUAUAAGAAUAUCUAUUUAGUCUGCCUAAAAAACAGAUUAUUACCUUUGCUGCAGCUAACAUAAAGGAGAUUAGUUCUUGUGCUGACUGAUGCAGGAUUCACAAAGACAGCUUCGGCCGACUUUGUAAACUCGAUCUCAAAUCAAGUAAGACUACCCGCUGAACUUAAGCAUAUCAAUAAGCGGAGGA
Molecule: unclassified non-coding RNA, 432 nt
Filed under: soil metagenome
Description: partial contains 5.8S ribosomal RNA, internal transcribed spacer 2, and large subunit ribosomal RNA
Rfam family: 5.8S ribosomal RNA (bases 1-120)
Source: RNAcentral